RNAcentral lists this long non-coding RNA (538 nucleotides) under Hordeum vulgare. RNAcentral describes it as "long non-coding RNA (HVUL_LNC002072)". Lineage: Eukaryota; Viridiplantae; Streptophyta; Magnoliopsida; Poales; Poaceae. The record is from RNAcentral.
GCCACCACUUACAUGGGUCCUUGUAGAUUUUCUGAAAUUCUCUAGUGGGCCUAAGGCCCACCUCCAAAUUUCAACACCCCCUUCAUCGGUAUCAUCCAUUUAAAAGAGUCUACGCUGCAGGUAAAGCAUGCCUUCAUUUAUCGGUUGUAAUAUAACCAAGUUAGUUUCUUAUAGUUUGUUGAUGGCAUAUACGAUUCACAUCCUUUUGUGUUAGGUUAGCAAUUUUAAUUAGUGUCAUAUCAGUUGUUUCUUUUGCUCCUUGAUACCCUCUUCAACAUAUAGCGAUUCUUUUCUGUACCGUUUCUAUUCGGAUUCUUGUGUGGUAGUGUUUAAUGAUUAUGAUUUAUAAGAGAAAAAAAGCAUUAGUGGUAUAUAAUUUUAUAUGUGCUCUACAGCCAGGCGUUGGGCUGCAAUUGGUCUAUUCUGAGUUCCAUAUCUGUAAUCAAGUCAGAGCUAGGAAACUGGCUUAUUCGGUUUAUUAUGUGAAUAUCCAUACAAUAAAACAAUAAUGAUCAAUAUUAGCAAACCUAAUAUAUCC